Molecule: ribosomal RNA, 431 nt
Filed under: uncultured bacterium
Lineage: Bacteria
Description: bacterial SSU rRNA
Rfam family: Bacterial small subunit ribosomal RNA
Source: RNAcentral
ACGAACGCUGGCGGCAUGCCUAACACAUGCAAGUCGAACGAACCCUUCGGGGUUAGUGGCGCACGGGUGCGUAACGCGUGGGGAUCUGCCCUUUGCUUCGGAAUAACAGUUAGAAAUGACUGCUAAUACCGGAUGAUGUCGUAAGACCAAAGAUUUAUCGGCAAAGGAUGAACCCGCGUAGGAUUAGCUAGUUGGUGGGGUAAAGGCCUACCAAGGCGACGAUCCUUAGCUGGUCUGAGAGGAUGAUCAGCCACACUGGGACUGAGACACGGCCCAGACUCCUACGGGAGGCAGCAGUGGGGAAUAUUGGACAAUGGGCGAAAGCCUGAUCCAGCAAUGCCGCGUGAGUGAUGAAGGCCUUAGGGUUGUAAAGCUCUUUUACCAGGGAUGAUAAUGACAGUACCUGGAGAAUAGGCUCCGGCUAACUCCGU